RNAcentral lists this non-coding RNA (220 nucleotides) under Eubacterium sp. RNAcentral's name for it is "T-box sequence". It matches the Rfam family "T-box leader". From Rfam's summary of the family: Uncharged tRNA acts as the effector for transcription antitermination of genes in the T-box leader family. T-boxes are found upstream of many aminoacyl-tRNA synthetase genes and some amino acid biosynthetic genes usually in Gram-positive bacteria. Lineage: Bacteria; Bacillati; Bacillota; Clostridia; Eubacteriales; Eubacteriaceae. The record is from RNAcentral.
AAUAUGGCGAUGACAAAGACAAGUAACAUAAGUAAUCGUUUACAGUGAGCAAAGGAUAGUGGAAACUUUGUAAUAGAGCUUAUGCGAAUAACACUUUACCAGCCACAAUCUGAAAGAGUUUUCGAGUAGGUGCGUCGCUUUACUGGGCGUUAUCAGUAUUGAGGGACUGUUAAUCAGUAAUUCAGGUGGUACCGCGGACAUUUAACUGUUCGUCCUGACA